AGAAAGCAUACGCAUAUGCAGAUGAGGAUGAAGGCCGACCAGCCAAUGACUGCUUGCUUAUCUACGACCAUGAGGGAGUUGGGUCACCUGUGGGCUCCAUUGGUUGCUGCAGUUGGAUCGUGGAUGACCUGGAUGAAAGCUACAUGGAAACUUUAGAUCCAAAAUUUAGGACUCUUGCUGAAAUCUGCUUAGACACCGAAAUUGAGCCAUUUCCUUCACACCAGGCCUGUAUCCCUAUCAGUACUGACCUCCCUUUGCUGGGACCUAAUUACUUUGUUAAUGAAUCUUCA
RNAcentral lists this long non-coding RNA (290 nucleotides) under Marmota monax (woodchuck). Lineage: Eukaryota; Metazoa; Chordata; Mammalia; Rodentia; Sciuridae. The record is from RNAcentral.